CCUCUUUCUAUAAGUAUUCUAGGAGAAGAAAUCCUACCAAUGAAGAAGUGUUGCAAAAAUUGCAGGUAUUACAAGCACAAGUCUCUGAAUUGCAAAGAGAUAAAGAGAUGUAUAUGAGAGAAAAGUGCAAUACUUCAUUGGUGAAAGAAACUAGUGAUAAAGCUAGUAUCAACUGUUAAAGAAAAUUUCCCGAGGGCAUUUCAUUUUGCCAACUAUACUUAUCGUCACCGAAUCAUCGCCUAGUUGGCAAGGGAAAAGUGCACAACACUUUGGGAGAUUUACUUCACCAUAGACCGCUCCCGGAUGGACACCUGAAAGUAUCAGUUGAUGUGGUAUUAGAUCAUGAUGCGGUGCUACCGGUACCCGACAUGGUCUCAGAGACAACAUUGCUGCGAGAUGAAAUAGGGCCAUUUGUUGCAUGACCCUCGGAGCUAAUUUUCAUUGGUGAUGAGACUACUCCUACAAAACCCACAAUUAAGGGUAAAGGGAUUUUGCAGGAGGACGAG
Long non-coding RNA from Vicia villosa (hairy vetch), 506 nucleotides. RefSeq lists it as uncharacterized. Lineage: Eukaryota; Viridiplantae; Streptophyta; Magnoliopsida; Fabales; Fabaceae. The record is from RefSeq and is a predicted model, not a curated record. The transcript is spliced from 3 exons.